This 494-nucleotide long non-coding RNA is filed under the name Volvox carteri. Its description in RNAcentral is "long non-coding RNA (VCAR_LNC001502)". The record is from RNAcentral. Lineage: Eukaryota; Viridiplantae; Chlorophyta; Chlorophyceae; Chlamydomonadales; Volvocaceae.
CACAUCCACUCCCCACCACGCACCCACUCCCCACCACACAUCCACUCCCAACCACACACCCACUCCCCACCACGCACCCACUCCCCACCACACAUCCACUCCCAACCACACAUCCACUCCCCACCACACAUCCACUCCCAACCACACAUCCACUCCCCACCACACACCCACUCCCCACCACACACCCACUCCCGACCACAGACCCACUCCCCACCACACACCCACUCCGCACCACGCACCCACUCCCCACCACACAUCCACUCCCAACCACACACCCACUCCCCACCACGCACCCACUCCCCACCACACAUCCACUCCCAACCACACAUCCACUCCCCACCACACAUCCACUCCCAACCACACAUCCACUCCCCACCACACACCCACUCCCCACCACACACCCACUCCCCACCACACACCCACUCCCCACCACACACCCACUCCCCACCACGCACCCACUCCCAACCACACCCGCAGCUCAAUAUCUUCUCCAG